AUGUCGGUCCUGAUGGUCACGAGCGUGGGCGACAUCGAGCUGGAUCUCCACACCGACCUGUGCCCCCUCACCACCAAGAACUUCCUCAAGCUCUGCAAAAUGAAGUAUUAUAAUGGGUGUCUGUUCCACAAGGUCGAGAAGGAUUUCUUGGCACAAUCUGGAGACCCGACUGGAACUGGCAGUGGUGGUGAUUCCGUGUACAAGUACCUUUAUGGUGAUCAAGCUCGAUUUUUUAAUGAUGAGAUCCGUGCAGAAUUAAGACACUCAAAAACUGGCACUAUUGCCAUGGCAAGUGCUGGUGAGAAUUGCAAUGCCUCACAGUUCUACAUCACCUUGCGGGAUGAUGUCGAUUACCUUGACGACAAGCACACGGUCUUUGGGACAGUUGCUGAAGGUCUUGACACACUGACAAAGAUAAAUGAAGCAUACGUUGAUGAUAAAGGAAGACCGUUUAAGGACAUAAGGAUUAAACAUACAUAUAUCUUGGAUGAUCCUUUUGAUGAUCCUCCUCAGCUUGCUGAACUUAUUCCUGAGAAUUCUCCAUUGGGAAAGCCACGUGAUGAGGUUGCAGAAGAGCGCCUAGAGGAUAGCUGGGUCCCUCUAGAUGAAACAGUGGAUCCUGGUCAGCUUGAGGAGCUGAUCCGCUCUAAAGAAGCACAUGCUAAUGCAGUGAUCCUUGAGAGCGUUGGAGACAUUCCAGAUGCUGAGGUCAAACCACCAGAUAAUGUUUUAUUUGUUUGCAAACUCAACCCAGUGACACAGGAUGAAGAUUUAUAUACAAUCUUCUCGCGUUUUGGAAGUGUGACAUCAGCUGAAAUAAUUCGUGACUUCAAGACUGGGGAUAGUUUAUGCUAUGCUUUCAUUGAAUUCGAGGCAAAGGAGGCAUGCGAACGUGCAUAUUUCAAGAUGGAUAAUUGCCUGAUUGAUGAUCGGAGGAUCCAUGUUGAUUUUAGCCAAAGUGUUUCAAAAUUGUGGGGUCAGUUCAGACAAAGUAAACGAAAUGGAAAUAAAGAUGGUUGCUUCAAGUGUGGUGCUCCAGAUCACAUAGCCCGAGAUUGUGACCAGGAUGGUGAGCAGAAACCUAAAGCCCCAAAUUAUGUUCUGAAAGAUGAUAACACUCAGCGAGGCGGGAAUAACCGUCGAAGUUAUGAUUUCGUCUUUGAGGAUGAUACUGCUCAUCGGAAUACUGACCGAAGAAAGGUUCAAAAAGUAGAUGACCAGAGAUCGCAGCUACCGCCUCGUGGCGACCGCGAUAGGAACAGCAGCAGGGAGAGAAGUCAGACCGACGAGAAAGGAGGCCGGCAAAGCAAAGAGGGUGUUGUGAGCCGAGGAGGUCGGAGGCCAGAAGACCACCACAGUCACGACAGAUCUGGUGGUCGAGGCUCUGGUAGGCACGACGACCGUGACUACAGCAAGCAACAUAGCAGGAGCAGAAACAUGGAUGGCGGUGAAGAAGACUACAAACGGAGAUCAGGAGCUGGUCGAUACGACAGGGAUGAUAAGCCCGACGGUGACCGGCGCCACCGGGACGAUGAUGACCGUGGGAAGGGCGAUCGUCACAGGAGAGACGAGCGUGACCGCAGGGCACGGAGCCCUGAUGCUGAUAGACAUAGAAGGGAAGACGCCGGACACCGCGAGGUCAGCAGGCACAGGGAGAGGCGGCACCGGGAUGAUAGAUAG
RNAcentral lists this ribosomal RNA (1680 nucleotides) under Triticum aestivum (bread wheat). RNAcentral describes it as "partial small subunit ribosomal RNA". The record is from RNAcentral. Lineage: Eukaryota; Viridiplantae; Streptophyta; Magnoliopsida; Poales; Poaceae.